AGCCUGAAUCAGUGUGUGUGUUAGUGGAAGCGUCUGGAAAGGCGCGCGAUACAGGGUGACAGCCCCGUACACAAAAAUGCACAUAUUGUGAGCUCGAUGAGUAGGGCGGGACACGUGGUAUCCUGUCUGAAUAUGGGGGGACCAUCCUCCAAGGCUAAAUACUCCUGACUGACCGAUAGUGAACCAGUACCGUGAGGGAAAGGCGAAAAGAACCCCGGCGAGGGGAGUGAAAAAGAACCUGAAACCGUGUACGUACAAGCAGUGGGAGCCUCUUAAUGGGGUGACUGCGUACCUUUUGUAUAAUGGGUCAGCGACUUAUAUUCUGUAGCAAGGUUAACCGAAUAGGGGAGCCGAAGGGAAACCGAGUCUUAACUGGGCGUUAAGUUGCAGGGUAUAGACCCGAAACCCGGUGAUCUAGCCAUGGGCAGGUUGAAGGUUGGGUAACACUAACUGGAGGACCGAACCGACUAAUGUUGAAAAAUUAGCGGAUGACUUGUGGCUGGGGGUGAAAGGCCAAUCAAACCGGGAGAUAGCUGGUUCUCCCCGAAAGCUAUUUAGGUAGCGCCUCGUGAAUUCAUCUCCGGGGGUAGAGCACUGUUUCGGCAAGGGGGUCAUCCCGACUUACCAACCCGAUGCAAACUGCGAAUACCGGAGAAUGUUAUCACGGGAGACACACGGCGGGUGCUAACGUCCGUCGUGAAGAGGGAAACAACCCAGACCGCCAGCUAAGGUCCCAAAGUCAUGGUUAAGUGGGAAACGAUGUGGGAAGGCCCAGACAGCCAGGAUGUUGGCUUAGAAGCAGCCAUCAUUUAAAGAAAGCGUAAUAGCUCACUGGUCGAGUCGGCCUGCGCGGAAGAUGUAACGGGGCUAAACCAUG
This 877-nucleotide ribosomal RNA is filed under the name Escherichia coli. RNAcentral's name for it is "partial 23S ribosomal RNA". It matches the Rfam family "Bacterial large subunit ribosomal RNA", at positions 307 to 1191 of the family's 2925-position model. The record is from RNAcentral. Lineage: Bacteria; Pseudomonadati; Pseudomonadota; Gammaproteobacteria; Enterobacterales; Enterobacteriaceae.